UGGUGGAGUGAUUUGUCUGGUUAAUUCCGUUAACGAACGAGACCUCGACCUGCUAAAUAGUUCGGCGAACCCCUCGGGGUUCGCACGCAACUUCUUAGAGGGACUAUCGGUGUCUAGCCGAUGGAAGCUCGAGGCAAUAACA
RNAcentral lists this ribosomal RNA (142 nucleotides) under uncultured eukaryote. RNAcentral's name for it is "partial 18S ribosomal RNA". It matches the Rfam family "Eukaryotic small subunit ribosomal RNA", at positions 1299 to 1458 of the family's 1831-position model. The record is from RNAcentral.